Molecule: ribosomal RNA, 497 nt
Filed under: uncultured bacterium
Lineage: Bacteria
Description: partial 16S ribosomal RNA
Rfam family: Bacterial small subunit ribosomal RNA
Source: RNAcentral
GAUGAACGCUGGCGGCGUGCCUAAUACAUGCAAGUCGAGCGAACAGACGAGGAGCUUGCUCCUCUGACGUUAGCGGCGGACGGGUGAGUAACACGUGGAUAACCUACCUAUAAGACUGGGAUAACUUCGGGAAACCGGAGCUAAUACCGGAUAAUAUAUUGAACCGCAUGGUUCAAUAGUGAAAGACGGUUUUGCUGUCACUUAUAGAUGGAUCCGCGCCGCAUUAGCUAGUUGGUAAGGUAACGGCUUACCAAGGCAACGAUGCGUAGCCGACCUGAGAGGAUGAUCGGCCACACUGGAACUGAGGCACGGUCCAGACUCCUACGGGAGGCAGCAGUGGGGAAUCUUCCGCAAUGGGCGAAAGCCUGACGGAGCAACGCCGCGUGAGUGAUGAAGGUCUUCGGAUCGUAAAACUCUGUUAUUAGGGAAGAACAAAUGUGUAAGUAACUAUGCACGUCUUGACGGUACCUAAUCAGAAAGCCACGGCUAACUACGUG